ACUGUUCGCGCACUCGCAAGACUACCGUAGCCAAACUUUCGGCUUUUCAGCAUUUUUGCUUUUCGGCAUUUCGACAUUUCGGCUUUUGCCGAUUCAUAGUGUGUGUACAGUGUAUGUACACACCUGGUAAGCAAGCGUGUCACGAUUCCCUUAGUCACCAACCUACAAUGAUAUCACCCUUCCAUUAAUUAUAUGUUUAAUCCAUAUUCUACCCAAAAACCAAAACCUCACCUUAACCUUAC
RNAcentral lists this long non-coding RNA (242 nucleotides) under Gossypium barbadense (sea-island cotton). Its description in RNAcentral is "long non-coding RNA (GBAR_LNC011436)". Lineage: Eukaryota; Viridiplantae; Streptophyta; Magnoliopsida; Malvales; Malvaceae. The record is from RNAcentral.